Long non-coding RNA from Dromaius novaehollandiae (emu), 1082 nucleotides. RefSeq lists it as uncharacterized. NCBI's taxonomy places the organism in Eukaryota, Metazoa, Chordata, Aves, Casuariiformes, Dromaiidae. The record is from RefSeq and is a predicted model, not a curated record. The transcript is spliced from 3 exons.
UGGAGGUUCUUCUCCAGCAGGUCCCACCAGUGCCACUGAGUCAUUUUAACAAUGUGCGUGUUUUGCUGAGGAAUAACCAAUUUGUCAAAUCACAUUAUAAUUUUUUUUCUUUUUGAUGCAGAAAAGACGUAAUUGUUUUCUUCCUUGAUUGCCUCUGCAGUCUCCAGUCGCAUGCAUUUCUCUACCUUCGCCACGUUAUGUGCAGGCUGGCAGGGAGCGAUCGGCACCUGGGAGGACGCAACCAAAGACCUGAGGGGCAGAUUUGGCUGGGGCUUGGAUGCCCAAAUAAAGGUUCAACUUUUAGGCCACUGAAGUCUCCCGCACCCUGGUGGCUAGGGAAUUUUGAAUGGUGUGACUUGCCACAGGGCUCCACGGGCUAAAUCUGCUUCUUUUUAUGAAAGCACGGCAGCCACUUGUGGGCUAAUGAAGUCUUGGGGCGCCAACGGUAUCGUUGAUCUGCAUCACUGCUGCUUUGAAAUUUGAGAGAGGUGUGAUCUCAGCAGAUUUCAUGAGAUGUGCUGGAUUGCAGAGGAGAUGCUCAGAAAUGCAAAGUGGGAAGAGCUGUUACUGAUGCUGGAGGCUGCAUUGCAUCCCCUCAAGCCUUACAAGUCUCUGAACACUGAUUAAUGUUGCCAGAGAACAACAGUGUUAUCGACGAUGUCAGAUGUCCCUACAACUCAGACUCCAAAUGGCAGCUGUGUGGGGCUUUUGAUUCUCUGUCUUGAGAUAUAUAGAUUCUUUUGGAUUUUAAGCAUCUUAAAUCUUUGGGGGUGGGGAAUAAGAAAAAAAGGGGUUUUGAUGUUAAUAUGGCAUUAAGCCAGUAUCACAAGAUUUAAUCCAGUCAACUACACUCCAAAGGUCAAAAAGAAGAUAACUCUAGGAGGGAGACAUCUGGAAAGGAACAGCAUGGAAAGAAACAAACAAAUGGCAUUGCAAGCCUGUUUUUAUAGCAAACAGCCAGAGUUUGGGCUAUUGUUACAAAAAGAUUGUGCCAGGAGGCAGACAAACGAUGCUGCACAACAGCUUUAUGUAUUCUUUACUGUGAGCUGGCUAUGGUUCUGUCCUGCUCCCCAAUACUGAGU